GGGGAUGAAAGGAUUUCGACGGGGACAGAGAAACAAGGUAAGCGAGUAGUGGAGUUGCACCACUUAAAAAGUAACACUUAAAAAAUAACUGACAACAAUAGAUCAGUAGCUCUGGCUGCUUAAUUGCACCAGCGUUCUGCCUCUGAGUGCCACGGCGGAGGACAGGGCGUCGACUAGUGGCGAACAUGAACAGGGGAGCGUUCCGACCCCUGUCAGGUAUCAGGAACUACCGUAGCGCACAGUCUGUUUGCCGGCGAAGCGUGAGGGGAAUCCAAAGCGACAGAAUACACUCGUAGAAAGCUUUGCGGACAUGUUUUCGGACGCGGUUUCGAUUGCCGCCAUCUCCACCA
RNAcentral lists this transfer-messenger RNA (350 nucleotides) under human gut metagenome. It matches the Rfam family "transfer-messenger RNA". Rfam says of the family: Bacterial tmRNA, also known as 10Sa RNA or SsrA, is named for its dual tRNA and mRNA-like properties. The record is from RNAcentral.